UCGCCCCUGCCGUGUUCGUGAUUGGUUAGGAUCUCUUUGACCCAACACUUAUCCGUCGGGAGCCAUCCCUCGCUUUGGUGAGCAUGUUCUGCCCGUACAGAAAAGCCUAAAGAAGCGAUAAGGCGCCCACUUGGACCUUUGGUUCAAGGACCGACCAACACGGCACAAUGGCAGGGGCCUC
RNAcentral lists this non-coding RNA (181 nucleotides) under Desulfobacterales bacterium. Its description in RNAcentral is "6S RNA". It matches the Rfam family "6S / SsrS RNA". Rfam says of the family: E. coli 6S RNA was the first non coding RNA to be sequenced, but its function was unknown until recently. Lineage: Bacteria; Pseudomonadati; Thermodesulfobacteriota; Desulfobacteria; Desulfobacterales. The record is from RNAcentral.